RNAcentral lists this ribosomal RNA (433 nucleotides) under uncultured bacterium. RNAcentral describes it as "partial 16S ribosomal RNA". It matches the Rfam family "Bacterial small subunit ribosomal RNA", at positions 29 to 507 of the family's 1533-position model. The record is from RNAcentral.
AACGAACGCUGGCGGCAUGCCUAACACAUGCAAGUCGAACGAGACCUUCGGGUCUAGUGGCGCACGGGUGCGUAACGCGUGGGAACCUGCCCUUAGGUUCGGAAUAACUCCCCGAAAGGGGUGCUAAUACCGGAUAAUGUCUUCGGACCAAAGAUUUAUCGCCUUUGGAUGGGCCCGCGUUGGAUUAGCUAGUUGGUAGGGUAAAAGCCUACCAAGGCGACGAUCCAUAGCUGGUCUGAGAGGAUGAUCAGCCACACUGGGACUGAGACACGGCCCAGACUCCUACGGGGGGCAGCAGUGGGGAAUAUUGGACAAUGGGCGAAAGCCUGAUCCAGCAAUGCCGCGUGAGUGAUGAAGGCCUUACGGUUGUAAAGCUCUUUUACCCGGGAUGAUAAUGACAGUACCGGGAGAAUAAGCUCCGGCUAACUCCGUG